This 253-nucleotide ribosomal RNA is filed under the name uncultured bacterium. RNAcentral describes it as "partial 16S ribosomal RNA". It matches the Rfam family "Bacterial small subunit ribosomal RNA", at positions 524 to 776 of the family's 1533-position model. The record is from RNAcentral.
UACGUAGGGGGCAAGCGUUGUCCGGAUUUAUUGGGCGUAAAGCGCUCGCAGGUGGUCCGCUGCGUCGUGCGUGAAAGACCCCGGCUCAACUGGGGAGGGUCACGCGAUACUGAUCGACUCGAAGGCAGGAGAGGGUAGUGGAAUUCCCGGUGUAGUGGUGAAAUGCGUAGAUAUCGGGAGGAACACCAGUGGCGAAGGCGACUACCUGGCCUGUUCUUGACGCUGAGGCGCGAAAGCUAGGGGAGCAAACGGG